Hippocampus zosterae (dwarf seahorse) is the source of this 1441-nucleotide long non-coding RNA. RefSeq lists it as uncharacterized. Lineage: Eukaryota; Metazoa; Chordata; Actinopteri; Syngnathiformes; Syngnathidae. The transcript has 6 exons. The record is from RefSeq and is a predicted model, not a curated record.
ACGGGGAAUGUGAUGCGACAACACCGCAUUCAUUUGGCGUCAAGCCUGCACAUACCCAGACGACGCUUUGUUCAACUGACCAAAUGCUUUAUUUUUUGCAUUUUUACGUACAAUGGUAAUGUUGUAUCUGAUUUAUUUGGACUUUUUAUUCAACAUGAAUGCGAAGGGUCAAACCUUUCCAGAACAGCCUAGAAGCUAGGUGAAGCUAACAAGCAAAUUGCCGCGGUUUUAUGUUUAAGAAAUCACUACAUGUUUAGCAUUCCAUACCGUUGUCAUUUUUCAUUCAGAAACCCUUCACAUUUCUUAUUCUAGCUUGACAUUUUCAUGAAAAUGUGAAAGUUUAAUCCUGUCCAUCCUUAACUGGCUUGCAGUUUAGGCUAGGCUAACCACGUGUUGCUGUUAAGAUGUUUGACAGAAAGCUACACAACAGCAGGGUGUUUGAUUUGCAUGCAUGCUAGCCACUUAUUUGCAUGCUAGCGCUAACUGUGUUUUGAAUCUCUCUGAGCUAACUACCCCCAAGGAAGCUGGGUGUUUGAUUCCAACGUUUGAAUAGUACCAAAGACCUCCUGGAACUACGUAGUUGAAUUUCGCCAUUUGCCAAUCACAUUGUUGUUUCUCGACCGCAACAGUACCAGACAUAUUGAUCGUCACCAGUUUGACUUAGCGACAACAUGACAGUGACAGAUUGGUGUCACAGAGGUCGAGUCAAUGAAAUCCUUUCCUGUCGGCCUACCAGGCAGAUGAACGGCGUGAAAAACUUCCAACAGAGCUUCCACCAAACGCAAGGAACAGAAGAAUUGGGAUGCGUGGCCAUCACACCGACAGGAAGUGAAAAUACGGAGCCAGCUAUAAUCUAACACAAACAGGCCGCCGAGCGCCAACCGGGACCCACCACUGUGAACGACGUCCUCCACCGCCAGGUCCAAGUUGAACGCCAUGAAGCCCAGCGUGGAGAACACCACAAAGCCGGCGAAGAUGCUGGUGGCGCUGUUCAAAAGGCACAGCGCCACGCAGUCCCUGUUGCGAGCGCACACCGCCUGCUGAAGUCGGGAAAGAGGUAGUAUUUCAGGCCCUCGCCGGCACCGGGCAGCGACACCCCUCGGAUGAAGAGGAUGAUGAGCAUCAGAAUUCCUCCUCGGCGGACUUCACCAUGAAGAAGGAUUCAUUCAGGGAUCUGCAGAGGUGGAGCAGAGCACACAAUGAGCAAGUCAAGGACGGCGACGAGUCAACAAUUACCGAACAGACGCAAAAGCGGAGCAGCACGAUGUUUUCCCAGCGAGUUUCUUUUGGAUCGGUCGCACACAUUCGAUGACGGAGCCAGAUGCUACUCGCCGCUCACCGGUGUUCCACGCAUUGUCGCACGUGGACCAGGGAAGUGGGCUCUGGAAGGAAUUGAACAGGUAGAAGAGGACCCAGGCCAGCACUACGAUGUAGUAGAUGU